GUGUUGUAUGAAAGGAGAGAAGGUUAGCACUCCCCUUGACAAGGAUGGAAGAGGCUCUCGGGCCUAACAACACGCAUACGGUUAAGGCAUUGCCACCUACUCUUAGAAAGAGACCAUGGAAGAAAGGAAAGCUUGGUUUUAU
This 142-nucleotide non-coding RNA is filed under the name Myotis davidii. Lineage: Eukaryota; Metazoa; Chordata; Mammalia; Chiroptera; Vespertilionidae. The record is from RNAcentral.